Molecule: ribosomal RNA, 500 nt
Filed under: uncultured bacterium
Lineage: Bacteria
Description: partial 16S ribosomal RNA
Rfam family: Bacterial small subunit ribosomal RNA
Source: RNAcentral
AUUGAACGCUGGCGGCAGGCCUAACACAUGCAAGUCGAGCGGAUGACGGGAGCUUGCUCCUUGAUUCAGCGGCGGACGGGUGAGUAAUGCCUAGGAAUCUGCCUGGUAGUGGGGGACAACGUUUCGAAAGGAACGCUAAUACCGCAUACGUCCUACGGGAGAAAGCAGGGGACCUUCGGGCCUUGCGCUAUCGGAUGAGCCUAGGUCGGAUUAGCUAGUAGGUGAGGUAAUGGCUCACCUAGGCGACGAUCCGUAACUGGUCUGAGAGGAUGAUCAGUCACACUGGAACUGAGACACGGUCCAGACUCCUACGGGAGGCAGCAGUGGGGAAUAUUGGACAAUGGGCGAAAGCCUGAUCCAGCCAUGCCGCGUGUGUGAAGAAGGUCUUCGGAUUGUAAAGCACUUUAAGUUGGGAGGAAGGGCAGUAAGUUAAUACCUUGCUGUUUUGACGUUACCGACAGAAUAAGCACCGGCUAACUCUGUGCCAGCCGCCGCAGUAA